CCUACGGGUGGCAGCAGUGGGGAAUAUUGGACAAUGGGGGAAACUCUGAUGCAGCGACGCCGCGUGCGUGAAGAAGUAAUUCUUUAUUUAAAGCUCUAUCAGUACGGAGGUAAAUGACGAUACCUGAAUUAGAAGCCCCGGCUAACGACGUUCCAGAAGCCGCGGUAAUACGGAGGAGGCAGGCGUUAUCCGGAUUUACUGGGUGUAAUGGGAGCGUAGACGGAAGUGAAAGUCAGGAGUGAAAGGGGGGGGCUCAACCCCGGGACUGCUAUGGAAACUGUAGGGCUGGAGUGCAGGAGCGGUAAGCGGAAUGCAUAGGGUAGCGGUGAAAUGCUUAGAUAUUAGGAAGAACACCAGUGGCGAAGGCAGCUUACUAAACUAUAACUGACGUUGAGGCUCGAAAGCGUGGGGAGCAAACAGGAUUAGAUACCCCGGUAGUC
This 440-nucleotide ribosomal RNA is filed under the name uncultured bacterium. Its description in RNAcentral is "partial 16S ribosomal RNA". It matches the Rfam family "Bacterial small subunit ribosomal RNA", at positions 338 to 795 of the family's 1533-position model. The record is from RNAcentral.